CUACUUCAGGCAUGGUGCACAUACAUCUGGUUGUGGUGGUCGGCAAGCAACCUUCUGUCCUUACUGAAUGCGUCAUCUACCUUCUGGUGGUCGUCAAUCGAUGGUGUACACCGUGUCCAGCAUGUGGUUGUGCUUGCACAUUUAAUGCUGCCGAGAAGCUACACAUAUUUGGCAUUCGCGGCCGAGCCGCUCACCAUCAUGGAGUUGGAUCACACUAGACCUCAAUGGCAUGCUCUGCCAUGUGGCCUCCUUGAUGCUGGUCGUCGAGCGCUGAUUCGACUAGACUAUCGCGCACAUAUUGAUCACAUUUGAUAAACAAGCUAUGAUCGUUGGAGAGUACCCCUCAGAUAUAUAGGUUAAUUUGACUCGAUUUUGGUAAUAUUUAGUCUGGCUUCUCUGUAUUGCCCUUGGCGAUUCAUUGUUAGGUUUCUACACUACUCUUUACAUUUUACACUUGGCAUGUUUCCCAGUAAGACCUCGGAGGGUUCUAUGUAUAAAUGAAUCUUUACUUGGACAACAUAUGUCUCGAUACUAACUCGAUCCUAACAUGUGCCCCCACUGAAUUGUGAAUUUCCCUUGAACAACACACCUUCAGUUAGUUGUGGUGUGAAUUUCAAAUCCAAUUACUGCAUUGUUAGUUCGAGGAUGAUUUCUGAUGGCUCA
Triticum dicoccoides is the source of this 663-nucleotide long non-coding RNA. RefSeq lists it as uncharacterized. Lineage: Eukaryota; Viridiplantae; Streptophyta; Magnoliopsida; Poales; Poaceae. The record is from RefSeq and is a predicted model, not a curated record. The transcript has 3 exons.